This 497-nucleotide ribosomal RNA is filed under the name uncultured bacterium. Its description in RNAcentral is "partial 16S ribosomal RNA". It matches the Rfam family "Bacterial small subunit ribosomal RNA", at positions 28 to 507 of the family's 1533-position model. The record is from RNAcentral.
GAUGAACGCUGGCGGCGUGCCUAAUACAUGCAAGUCGAGCGAACAGAUGAGGAGCUUGCUCCACUGACGUUAGCGGCGGACGGGUGAGUAACACGUGGAUAACCUACCUAUAAGACUGGGAUAACUUCGGGAAACCGGAGCUAAUACCGGAUAAUAUAUUGAACCGCAUGGUUCAAUAGUGAAAGACGGUUUUGCUGUCACUUAUAGAUGGAUCCGCGCCGCAUUAGCUAGUUGGUAAGGUAACGGCUUACCAAGGCGACGAUGCGUAGCCGACCUGAGAGGGUGAUCGGCCACACUGGAACUGAAACACGGUCCAGACUCCUACGGGAGGCAGCAGUAGGGAAUCUUCCGCAAUGGGCGAAAGCCUGACGGAGCAACGCCGCGUGAGUGAUGAAGGUCUUCGGAUCGUAAAACUCUGUUAUUAGGGAAGAACAAAUGUGUAAGUAACUAUGCACGUCUUGACGGUACCUAAUCAGAAAGCCACGGCUAACUACGUG